Long non-coding RNA from Phasianus colchicus (ring-necked pheasant), 1836 nucleotides. Lineage: Eukaryota; Metazoa; Chordata; Aves; Galliformes; Phasianidae. The record is from Ensembl.
GAGAAUAUCUACUGAAUUGAUUUUGCAUCCCUCCAUCCAUCACCUUCCUCAGAACGCACCACCACCCCACUAAUUCACUGCAGUUUCUCAGCUUGCCUGACAGGUUCUGCUUCUCACUCAUCUAUCACACCUCUCUGAAAAGAAAGAAGCAGAUGCUAAACAGCACUAAAUUCACCUUCUGCUUUUCUGCCUGGCUCCGCCCUCACUUGCUCAGGAGAAGGUAACUGGGGAAGCCAAUUGCCUGGCAGUGUCUGGAAAAUACAUCUUUGUUGGUCUGUGCGUGGAUAUGGCUGCCUUCAGGAUGUUUGACUGUGAGCAGGUCAGUGCUUGGGAUGUAGUCAAGACAGAGGUUUGUGCCAUCAGCUCCACAGAGUUAGGGAAUGGGAACCACACUGCGCAGGCUGUGGAUGGAAUUGGUGAGUGGGACAUGGGUUUCCCCAUCUUGACUUGCGGGUCGCUGUGCUGAAAAGUUGGCAGCUACUUUAUGGAAGGGUGCUAAAUCAGGAGGAGUGUGAGUAUGGCUGACAGGUUUCCUAGAAAGCCCUGCAGAGAAAGGUGUUAGAUAACAGAUUGUAAGGUGAUAGAGUGGCCCUAGGGCCUUGGGAUUAGAAAAGGGUGUGGGUUCGGUGUCCUGACUGGAACAGCAAAGGCAGAUGUGGAGCUGAGGCUGAAGUGCAAUAUAUUUUAGGAAUACAUUGGACCAGACAGAAAAAAGCAUUGUUAAGUGUCACCUCUUGCCUCUGCUUUGUUUCAGUAUCUGUAAUUGCACAGUCCCGUGGUAAAUAGGUUUGUUUCUUGAUUCAUCUGAAACCUGUCAUUUCUGGCAGAGAUAGCUUUCAAAAUCCAUUAUGCAUUGCUGAGUACAAUCGAGUGCUUGCUGGUGUUGACAUAAGGAAGCCAAUGAAAGUUUAUUGCUGGAAGCAGUGGGAUAUUCUUCCACCUGCCCAGGAAAAAAAUAUAGCCUUGUUCACACCCCAGCACGUUAUAACAGCCCUCUCUCAAGAGCACAGCUGCCAUCUGUUCACUUUCCUUCUGCAAAAUCUGUAUUUCCAUUGCAGGGCUUGUUUGACUCUUCUGCUUUCACAAGGAAACUUCCUGCUCAUUAAAAUCCUAAACGAGGUGAUGAGAUGGGGAGGGAGCUAACCUUGUACUGAGAUGAUGUCAAAAUGCCUCAGAAAGGCAAGGAGCAAAUUUCCAAAGCCCUUUGGAUGCCUUGAAGAAAGCAGAUGAUGGCAGCAUGCUGGGUUUGGGGCACAGUCACCUGAUUGAGGACUCCCAGUGGGAGAAGCAGGAGGUGAUUUUUGCAGCACUUAUCAGGGGUAUCUGGAGGUUGAGGGUGAGAAUGAGAGCAAGGAUGAAGUCCUCAGCUGAGUGGGAGUCCUAGUCAGCAUUCUGUUCCAUGAAACUUCAGUGUGGGACAUGUGAAGUACAGAUGGAAGCUUCUGGCUUGGUUCUACUGCUUUCAUCCUAAGGUUUCAGGACAGGGGAUUAGCAUCAUUCCAGAUGCUGUUGCAGUGCUACCUACUUAUCAAGGCCUUUCUUUUACAUGUAUUUCUUUCCUUCCUUACUCAGACAUGCUACUUUUCAUUUUCUCCUCCCCAGCUGGAUCCUGUAGAUGGGACUAGUCAGGUAAUCCAACUGGGCUAAAAGUUGUUGACAUGUGAAGUAUCUCCACUGCAUGACAUUGAGCUCCAGUUAGAGAUCACUGACUCUGGGUUGGGUUGACUCUGUAAAUUCCAUCUUCCAGAACAAAAGUCUGACUUAAACUGUCAACCCUAUGCCAGCAUGGAGUCAAACAAACUUCUCUCCUUGGUUUAAAUUAAAUGAGAGAACACG